GUGGUGGUUCAGUGGUUGAAUGCUUGCCUUGCAUGCAUGAGGACCUGGGUUCAAUUCCUCACAACCACA
This 69-nucleotide transfer RNA is filed under the name Dipodomys ordii (Ord's kangaroo rat). It matches the Rfam family "tRNA". From Rfam's summary of the family: Transfer RNA (tRNA) molecules are approximately 80 nucleotides in length. Their secondary structure includes four short double-helical elements and three loops (D, anti-codon, and T loops). Further hydrogen bonds mediate the characteristic L-shaped molecular structure. tRNAs have two regions of fundamental functional importance: the anti-codon, which is responsible for specific mRNA codon recognition, and the 3' end, to which the tRNAs corresponding amino acid is attached (by aminoacyl-tRNA synthetases). tRNAs cope with the degeneracy of the genetic code in two manners: having more than one tRNA (with a specific anti-codon) for a particular amino acid; and 'wobble' base-pairing, i.e. permitting non-standard base-pairing at the 3rd anti-codon position. The record is from Rfam by way of RNAcentral. Lineage: Eukaryota; Metazoa; Chordata; Mammalia; Rodentia; Heteromyidae.